Molecule: ribosomal RNA, 468 nt
Filed under: uncultured bacterium
Lineage: Bacteria
Description: partial 16S ribosomal RNA
Rfam family: Bacterial small subunit ribosomal RNA
Source: RNAcentral
GACGAACGCUGGCGGCGUGCUUAACACAUGCAAGUCGAACGGAAAGGCCCUGCUUUUGUGGGGUGCUCGAGUGGCGAACGGGUGAGUAACACGUGAGUAACCUGCCCUUGACUUUGGGAUAACUUCAGGAAACUGGGGCUAAUACCGGAUAGGAGCUCCUGCUGCAUGGUGGGGGUUGGAAAGUUUCGGCGGUUGGGGAUGGACUCGCGGCUUAUCCGCUUGUUGGUGGGGUAGUGGCUUACCAAGGCUUUGACGGGUAGCCGGCCUGAGCGGGUGACCGGCCACAUUGGGACUGAGAUACGGCCCAGACUCCUACGGGAGGCAGCAGUGGGGAAUAUUGCACAAUGGGCGGAAGCCUGAUGCAGCAACGCCGCGUGCGGGAUGACGGCCUUCGGGUUGUAAACCGCUUUCGCCUGUGACGAAGCGUGAGUGACGGUAAUGGGUAAAGAAGCACCGGCUAACUACGUG